UUAACACUUAGUGAUUAUAUUAGCGAUGUACAAUAACUUCUCACUUUGGAUUCUUUUUGAUGUAUUAUGGAGGUAAAAAUCAAUAUUUUCUACCAAACUGGAGAAAUUUAGAUGAUCUAUUUUUGAGAUAUAGGUUCAGAGAAAAAUUGAUGAUAAAGACUGGAAUAACUCUAGUUCCCCCAAGUCAACAUCUGAUUGGCCCUUAGAAUCAGAAUUUAGGAAGAGAGAGGUUUGGGAGACCACGCAGUCCUGCUUCCUCACUUCGCAGAUACGGAAACCAGGCCUAGCUGGAAUUUCCCCAGAUCACACAGCCAGGAAACAGCAGGCUCAAAACUAGGGCCUUCUGAGUCCCCAGUGCAGCAUGCAUAUGUGUCUGCCUUGUUUCAUUAUGUAAUGGUACAGCGAGUUUGGAGGCAUACAAAAACAGACAGACACCAAUCUUGCCUUCAAGGCGUUUACAAUUUAGCAGGGGAGAUAACACAUGUAUAUAAAAAACUUACUAGACAAAGUAAACAGCAGUAUGCUCUAUAAGACAGGUAUGGAUUAAAAAGGAAUCUUUAAGUCAUUGAACCCUGAGAUUCUUUUUUUUUCAUUUUUUAAAACAAUAGUAAUCAAACUUGUGAAAUAGUGAACUUCCUCCAUUUUGCAAGAUUCCUCGAAACCAAGUACUUGGAAUAUAACUUAGUUAAGGAUUGCACAACACACACCAUUUGAGUAUCUGAUUUGGAAAACUAAGCCACAGAGCCAGACCACACAAUGCACACUGGUUGGAAUCUGCUGGGCAGGUAUCUCCCCGUCUGUCCAGGCAAGCCAAAUCAAAUAAGGCCCUGAGUUAAAAAGGAAGGAAAAGUAACAGAUAAAUCUGUUGACCACCACUCUAGGAGGCCAAGGCCUCUUUCCUCCCCAUUAGUGGUGGCUUGCUCUAAGAUAAAAAUACCACACUUAAGCUGUGAUAGAGGAAAGCCCGUGGUUUGGGACCCAACUACAAAGUAACAGCAAAAGAGAGAUUAUUACUCCCUAGUGACUCUCUUUUUGGUAUAAUUAGAAGAAUAGAAAGACCACUGAAGAGUGGGAUUUGUGAGAAAUAUGGGUCAUGUGUCUGCAGCACUAGUUGCUUGCAGAAUUGGCUAUGUGGGUUGGCACACAGCACCGUGAAUAUUAGAAACCACAAAUCUCCAGGGUUUCUUGAACAAAGUAAAAGGCCUUGUCUUCAGAUUGCCAGGUUGGAGGCUGGCUUGUGGAAGAAGCCCCUGGGUGAGCUCCAAAGCUACCUACGCAUUUCUGCCUUCUCCGUCUCUUUCUUCUCCUCCUCCUCUCCCUCUCCCCAUCCCUCUCCUCUUAUUUUGGAUAUUGCAUCUUGGUGGGUCUAACUGUAGCUUUGCUUAUGCCAAUACCCCCCUGCCCCACCCCCUGGGGAAGCAGGCCCUCUCCAUGACAACUGCCGACGCAGAAUCCACAGAGCUCUGGACAAUGGGACAAACCAUAUUUCUAUGAACAAAGCCAAGGAAUCUGAUGGACAAGAGAAUCCAGAAUCUCUGCAAUGGGCAGAAGAGAGGACCAGACUUCAUGGUUGAUCUCCCCACAGACCAUACCAACAGGGCAAAGCCCUUCUACUGUCAUUGGAGUAUAUUGACCCAUCCCUGACAGAAAGUCUGUGUAAGCCCGAGGAGGAGGAACAUGCCGCAAACCUGCUGCAGAGCAUUAACAAGAACAGAAUUAAAAAGGAUCACUUCUGGGACUCAUCACACAACUUGGAAAUCAUGUUCAAUAAAAGAAAAGAUAAUUUGGGGCCACACUACCUGAAAUGAACAUCUGACACUCAGUCACUGGUCUGGAUUUAGAAAACUGCUUUGAUCCCCGGAGGGAAGAUUGUUAAUGAGUAUUUUAAAGGACAAGAUUGGCGAAGCAUGAUAGAGUGGAAAAGGGUACUGAUUUUGAAGGGUCCCAGUCUUGCUUCCACUUCUGUAAGCAAGUAGAACUGACUUUGAACAAGACACAUUACACUGCCCUGAGAAAACGUCCUCAUCUCUAACAUGGGAGGUGAAGUUAACCCUCUAGUCCAUCCAACAAUCAAAUCUAGGCCUUAAUGACUAUGAAAACAUGGGAAAAAAUUUAAAACAAGAGCAGGUAAUGCUUGCACCUUUUCGCUACCUGAAAGGAAGGUCAGACAACCUUAGUAUAAAAGGUAACUUUUCUUACUUGCAUGCUAACAAUCAAUGCAUAAUUUACAUAGCAAUGCAUACACUUUAUAUAGUUCAAGAGAUCAUCGUUGACUGCCUGAACUUGAUAUGCUUCAUCCUUGUCAUGUCCUCCUCACUAAAUACUAACUACCCAAAGUGAUCAAACCCCAAAUGUAAAAAUAAUCAUCUGAUAAAUCACAGACAACAAGGAGGUGAAAAAAAGAACUCAGUCAAACAUUUUUGAGUUCAUAAAAAAAUUGAAUAGCAUAAUCUACCACUAUGUUCCCAUCCCCCUGCUAAAACAAUAUUUUAUCACUCUGGCUUUAUUUAUUCCCAGUCCUCCCCAACAUACUUAUUUUCUGGAGCAUUUUAAAGUAAAUCUUGGAUAUCUUGUCAUUUCAUCCACAACUACUUCAGUCUUCAUCUCAACUAAUAAGGAUUUUUUAAAAACCACUACCACGACAGUAUUAUGCCUGACAAUAUUAAAAAAUUAUUUACUAUCAUCUAAAGAACCAAUCAAUAUUCAAAUUUCAUCAAUCAUCUAAAAAUUUUUUUUUCUUUCAGUUUUUGGCUUGAAUUAGCAUCUAAACAAGCUAAGAGGUGAAACUGAUUUCACCCAAUUCACAAUCCUUUGUCUUUUAAAUAUUUCUUUUAGACGCUGACAUUACUUAGACACAAUGUAUCUGGAACACAGAUAAUGUGAAGGUCAGCUUCAUCGCAAUAUUAUUUGAAAUGUCUUAUUCUAUGAAUCAGAUAUAAAUGUAGUUAAAGGCUCAGAACUGGAAAAAUCUCAAGUAAUUCUCAGUUUUCCCAAAUGCAUAAAUGAUUUAGGCAACCUUAAUGGAAUGCUUUAAAGAUAUUUUGCUAAAUCUUACACCAUUCCUAGGAAGAAUACCUCUGACAGACUUUAGCAGCUUUUAUUUUGCCCAUAUAAAAGCUGGAUUUCUUAGACCGUGGAGCAGCCUAACAGCACAGAUAGUAUUUUCAGUUGUAGUUUCACCUGCACCUUAAAAAGAAAUCUACCUGCAUAUGCUGGCAACGAGGACAUCUUUGAAAACAGAGCUAAGAGCCUCAAACUGUCAACUCCGACUUUUGGGAAGAAGGGAGGUGAACAGUUUCUCCAUUCAGCUUCCAUGAGGCCUCUCUGGUAACACACAGGCACUGCUGUGACUCAUAACCAGAAAUACUGUUUUAUAACACCAGUCUGUGUUUUGUAACACACACUGAAAGAAAAAAAAAACUAUUUAGAAACCAAAACCAAGCCCUACAUCUGGGCAUUGGUAUCAAGAUCUCAAGAUGUCAGAGUGGCUAUUUAAUUCAGAUAAAGUAGGCAAGUCCUUAUCCCUUUCCUUGGCAAGAAAGUGGAGGCUUCCUGCCUGCUGCACAUGCCCACAGGAGGAGCAACCAUGAAUUUAAUUUUCUUAAAACAGAAGCAUUUUCAGACUUGUGUUUUCCUGGACAGCUGCCUAGUGGCUGUAAUCCAUAAUAAGGGCGUGUAAUUGACAGUAAUGUGAAUCACUCACUGAAAUUCUGGCAAAAAAAAAAAAUAGAGGAGUUAUUUUUUUUUUUUUUCAGGAAAAAAUUAAAGAGCAGAUUCAUCCUGUCCAUUGAAAAUAGCAAUUACUUUACAUUUCAGCUCAUUAGCUACCUUUAUAUAAAAAAAUCACUGUAAUUUGUACUAACUAUCAGCAAGUGUUGUAAAGAAGUGGUGCAGUUGCACAAGGCAUGCAAUCGGAUGUGCUGGGCCAGGCACAAUCUGUAAAAUGGCAAAUGUAGAUGAGUUACUUGAUAUAGCAUACAUGGGAUUCCUGGCCCAAGAGUGAGUUACAGGACACUGUCCUAACAGUGAUUUUGCCACUUAAAAAGCUGCUAUCUGCCUGGGACCUUGUAAUUAUUAUGGUAAUACCCAGGGCAGACUGAUCAAGCUGCCAUUGAUGUCUAUGGGCAGUUUCAGAAUUCCUUUCACUCAGACACAGGGAUCUCCAAAAGAAUGGUUGGGGAUUUUCCCAGGUAGAAGCUGUUGGAACCAUGGAAACUUUGAGACCAGGUAAAGGGUUUCUCCCAUCUAUUAAUUCUCUUUGAAUAAGGGGAAGAAUAAUCUCAAUUAACUUCACUAUCAACCUGAAAGGGCCCCCUCUUUUCCAAGGCAGAGGCACGGGAACUAAACACUGGAAAGCUACGGAAGAUUUAAUUCCAUUUAGAUAAACCCUGACUCCAUCAGAACCCGAGAGGUUCAGAUAUUUUUCUGAAACUUCAGCACCUGUGAAACUAGCAGCCCUUGUCCAGAACUACCUGGUAUCUCAAGCUUCUGGUCCCAGAGGGAACAGGGGUAUUUUGACUUGUGAAAAUCCCACGAAUGCAUGGAGAAAAACUUGGGACUUUAGAAUGCUGAGGUCUGUGUUAGGAAGAUGUAUAUUGAACCAAAGAGUGGAAACACUUAACCUCUUUUUCUCAGUCAACCACACUCUAUGAAGAAGGCUUGGAUUUAUUUUCUCCUAUUGGGAUCUCCCAUUCUUAGAAGAAAAAUGGAAGUCAGAUUUCAUUAAAAUAGAGGUAAUGUUGGGAUUUUGAUGAAUGAAACUAAAAUUCAUUUUGUGCUUUAUCAUUAAUUAUUUCUGAGAAGCUUUUUCUCAUAUGACAACAGUUGGGGGAUGGUAUUAUUAGCUUAUGAUGGUUCCCAUCUUUGAUAGCCACCACUAAUCUCCUACUUAAUUCUGGCUUAAUUUGCAAGUAGUUGCUAACAGGCAAAAUGAGGGUGGAGUCUCAUAAACCACUAAAAAGAGAGACUUGCUAUGCAUAUAAAUAGGCCCUGCAAAAAUAUUUCAGAUACUGUAUCUCAAUUAUUAGACAGUAGCAAACUGUCAAAAUCUAAAAAGUAACAUGGAAUAUGUAUAACUAGUUCUUUGCAGGCAUUCUUUUUGUUCCUAUAUGAAUACAUUUUAUGUGAGCCCAAAUGGUUGGAAAUGUAUUAUUCAUUUUUAUAAUUGAGAAAAAUGUGUUAACGCUCUGGAAUGUCCAUGUGUGGAAAAAUAAAACGUUAUAUGGAAUUGCACACACAUAUGAUUUAUAAUGCAUGCUUCCAGGACCAGAAAUCCUAACGAAGAACCUUAUUCAACAGAAAAAAACAUUUUUUUUUCUUCAGUAUGUGCAAUUCUGGUAUACUGUAAUGCUGAGGCCAAGCAUAUAUUUUAUUAGUUUAAAUCCUAGCUAAGCAAUAAAAUAUGUGUCAUUUUAAAUAAAAGAAAACAUGUUUUUCACAAAAGCUAGAUU
This 5450-nucleotide long non-coding RNA is filed under the name Homo sapiens (human). RNAcentral describes it as "HSALNT0221034". The record is from RNAcentral. Lineage: Eukaryota; Metazoa; Chordata; Mammalia; Primates; Hominidae.